Molecule: ribosomal RNA, 253 nt
Filed under: uncultured bacterium
Lineage: Bacteria
Description: partial 16S ribosomal RNA
Rfam family: Bacterial small subunit ribosomal RNA
Source: RNAcentral
GACGAACCGUGCGAACGUUGUUCGGAAUCACUGGGCUUAAAGGGCGCGUAGGCGGGCCAGCAAGUCAGGGGUGAAAUCCCACGGCUCAACCGUGGAAGGGCCUUUGAUACUGUCGGCCUCGAGGGAGGUAGGGGCGUGCGGAACUUCCGGUGGAGCGGUGAAAUGCGUAGAUAUCGGAAGGAACAUCGGUGGCGAAAGCGGCGCGCUGGACCUCUUCUGACGCUGAGGCGCGAAAGCCAGGGGAGCAAACGGG